This is a non-coding RNA of Trichomalopsis sarcophagae, 46 nucleotides long. The record is from Rfam. Lineage: Eukaryota; Metazoa; Arthropoda; Insecta; Hymenoptera; Pteromalidae.
CAAUCGGCCCUUUUCAUGGCCACCAAAAUAUAAAACGUAGAUUAUU